Molecule: long non-coding RNA, 3307 nt
Organism: Sebastes umbrosus (honeycomb rockfish)
Lineage: Eukaryota; Metazoa; Chordata; Actinopteri; Perciformes; Sebastidae
Exons: 2
Source: RefSeq, a predicted model, not a curated record
GCCAUUAGGAGGUGCAGAAGUCUAGUUUUCUCUCAGAACACUUGAAUUACAAAAGGUUACUGAAAGGUUAUUAUGGAACUUUUGCCCAAUGAUGCCAAAAUGUAUACUGCCUACUGAAGCUUUAAGUGUUUUAGGCUUCUUCGUAACUACAGAUUAAGUAUAUUUUUGCUUGUCUUUGUCACAUGCACACUAUGUGCUUUUACAUUUUUUUUUUCUUCUACCAUACCAAGUGGUUUUCUUGCCGGAUCUAAAGUCAGUGACCAUGACGUUUUAAUUAUUACGGCUUAAAUACGCAUUGAUUUUGUGGGAUAAAUACGAAUUACAGUGCAUUUCUUUCGUAGAUACAGUAUAGCUACGAACGGUGUAUGAUACCAGCCUGAUCUGCAGGAUAUUUGGGGGGAUGUGAAAGGCAUUUGAGCCAAUCUUGGGGGGCAAAUCAGAAGUGCACUAGGAGGGAUCAGAAGGGCACUAUUUGGGUCAAUCAGAGAGCCUCUUGAGUAGGCUGAAUUGUUAUUAAGGCUCCUCAGAGCCAAAAAAGGUUCCCUGAGCAGCUCUAGGAACCUCAGUUGCCCCUUUGUUUUGCUAUUAGUGCAAAAAAAUUAAGCAUUAAAGUACUCCAUUCAAAAAAAGACCACUUCAGCUUCUACAUUUAGACCCUUUAGACCCUCUUUGGACACCACUACACAAACCAGACAGUGUAAAGUCAGAUGACAGCAGCAACUCAUUCAGACUAAACAUGUGUACAUAGCAGCAUUAGUGGCCUUAGCUUCAGUGCAGUACAGCAGCCUGUGAAGUGACUUGAAAGUAUAUUUAUUAUUCUUUAAGAUUAGGCCAGUUUAUCUUGUAAUUCACGACAUGGAGUGGCUGCCGAUAUUAUUAGUCAACUAGGAGUAAGUUUUUAUUUUCACCCAAAUGAUGUCAGUAAUCUCUGUUCUCUCCUUUCCUGUAUUUUUCUUAAUCUCACUCUAUGUUUUGAGGUAAUCGUCUUUGUGUGGUGACCACUUAAAAAGUCUGAAUUAUAGAGCUUUGUUCACAUAUACGUUACGUAUUUAAAGACAAACCUGGUGUUGAAGAUAGUGUUUAUAUGUUCUGGUACUUUGUCCUUAUCUCCCCCUUGUAGAUGCAGACGGAUCAGAUCCCUCGCAGUGCUGUUUCCUUUCGUGUUGUUUUGUUUCUCCAGAGUUUUAUCCUUAAAUAUCCCUUAAAUAUCUGUUGGCUGGGCAGUUCUCUUUUUAUUCUCGCUUUAAGACGAUAAAACAACAAAAAAAACAAAAAAAAAAGGAAAAAAAAGUUCACAUUAAAGAUCAGUUUCAGAUAUGUAGCAUUUAAAUAUUGUAAAGAAGGUGAAGUUGCCACAUAAUUAAUCAUAGUUUUCAAGUUGCAUAUAUAAAAGCAAUGGUGCUUCAUAGACCAUGUAUGUGUCCUUUUAGAACUUGUAUCACAUCUCUCGGAUCCUAACACUAUAUUUUUUAUGUUUUUUAUGUCGUGCUGAAAUUGUCUUUAAAGUUCAUUUCGAUCCUCGUAACGUGCCUUAUGGUUGUCUCAACACAGUUUACCCUUCAAGAGCACAGUUUGUUCCCUGCAACCUGUAGAUGACUUCCUCUGACUCCUCACACCUUAACUGCUAGCAAGCUAGCAAAGCCUGAUAUUAAUGUGAAAUUAUACACCAGAUUCGACUGUUAUUAGCUUAUUAAAUGUGCAUUAUCAGUCAUUAUAAGCCUCAUAGGUCAGUAGUAUAACUACUACGUUGUAAAAGUGAAAGCGAAACUUAAAAGCAACACGUUGUGAAACUGAAUGCAAACAAAACAGCUUCUGUAGGUUUAGGAAACAAAAUCACUUAGUUAAGUUAAGGGGAAAAUAUUGUGUUUUGGCUUAAAAUAACUACGUUUGGAAAGUGAAAGUGAAACUUUAGGUUGUGAACAUAAAGACAACUACACGUUGUUGGUUCCACACAGGAUGCUAAUCCUGGUCUCCUGGUGAAACUACUGUGUUUUGUGUCCCAUCCAUCGCCCCGACCUCCUCCUCAUAUGGAGGGUCAUGGUGUCUGACUUCCACUUCUGCUCCUGUCAUAAGCAACACGUUCUCACUCCCAACUCGUCAAGCACCGCCGUUUGGUCGACGCCCCUCGUGUGAAACUAAAAGUAACGUUGACUUAUUUGGACACGUCAGUCUUUAGUCACAUAACUCGUCAGAAUCAUCAGAUCUGUGUGACGUGAGUCAGUAGUCACGUGACUCAUUAGUAUCGUCAGUAGUCACGUGAGUCGUUAGCAUCAUCUGUCACGUGAGUCGUUACUAUCGUCAGCCCCGAGUUACGUGAGUAAUUAGUAUUGUCAGCCCCGUGAGUCGUUAUCCUGUGAGUCGUUAGUAUCGUCAGCCCAGCGAGUCAUGUGAGUCGCUAGUAUCAUCAGUCCAAAAGUAACACUAGAGGGGUACGCCGUGCGUCGGUCUCUGAUGCCGAGGGGCACUGACCAAGCGGCGGUAUUUGACGAGUUGGGAGUGAGAACGUGUCGACAUGGAGGAAGAACGGCACCUCAGAUGGACUUUUUAGCAACCGAUGAGAUUUUAACUAAAUUGGGUUAAUGUAUGUGGAAAGAGUUGGCUGCAUGGAAGUUCCAUAAUAUAAAUCUAGGCAGAGGGGGGGUCCCGCUCACGUUUUUAAGCUAGCGUCUGCUGCACUAGCUUCAACCAAACCAUUUAAAAUGGUUUAAAAAUGAAAAAUGUAUACAGCUAGUCAUUUAAAUCGAGAUAAAACGAUUGUUACACAUUGUUUUAUCAUCGCUAAAAUAAAGAAAUGUUCCAGUAGAUAUUCAUUUAUGUUAGAAUAGUUGACCUGAGGAACAGAUGUCAGAAUAAAGACAACUCGCUGAGAGGAUAAAAGCUAAAGCUAGUAGCACAGAUGCUAACCCCCAAAAAUGGGCGGGGCUUCAGCUCCCUAUUUAAACCCUAUAGAAGGCGUAUCACCAGUCCUAGAGCUCUACACGCUGUGCUGCUUGAAAGGUUUUACAGUUAAUCCACUCAUUCACUGCACUUCCUCUUUAAAGACGAUAUCAGCAUCUCGUGGCUCAACAGGGUUUUUGUUUUUCCUCAUGGGAUCCAUGUUCAGCUACUUAUAUUCUGUUUUCGUCAGUGUCAUACAGUACAGUUAUAUUAGCUGAUCCUGCAUUUUUUUUAAUAUGCUAUAAAUCCAUAUUGAUCUUAUUAUUAUCAUAUAUUGUUCUUAUUAUUAUUACUACAUGGGGAAUUAAGAAGUUUGUGUUUCUGCACUGAUAUCUUAUUAUUAUUAAAGCAUACUGAUCUUACCCUCCCU